Molecule: non-coding RNA, 66 nt
Filed under: Nitrospira defluvii
Lineage: Bacteria; Pseudomonadati; Nitrospirota; Nitrospiria; Nitrospirales; Nitrospiraceae
Description: crcB
Rfam family: Fluoride riboswitch aptamer (crcB RNA motif)
Source: RNAcentral
GUGUGACAGGGUGAUGGAGUUCACCCGAAUUGCCGGUACGAGCCGGCUGAUGACUCCUAUCAGCGA